Molecule: ribosomal RNA, 1051 nt
Filed under: Shigella sonnei
Lineage: Bacteria; Pseudomonadati; Pseudomonadota; Gammaproteobacteria; Enterobacterales; Enterobacteriaceae
Description: partial 23S ribosomal RNA
Rfam family: Bacterial large subunit ribosomal RNA
Source: RNAcentral
UACCUUUUGUAUAAUGGGUCAGCGACUUAUAUUCUGUAGCAAGGUUAACCGAAUAGGGGAGCCGAAGGGAAACCGAGUCUUAACUGGGCGUUAAGUUGCAGGGUAUAGACCCGAAACCCGGUGAUCUAGCCAUGGGCAGGUUGAAGGUUGGGUAACACUAACUGGAGGACCGAACCGACUAAUGUUGAAAAAUUAGCGGAUGACUUGUGGCUGGGGGUGAAAGGCCAAUCAAACCGGGAGAUAGCUGGUUCUCCCCGAAAGCUAUUUAGGUAGCGCCUCGUGAAUUCAUCUCCGGGGGUAGAGCACUGUUUCGGCAAGGGGGUCAUCCCGACUUACCAACCCGAUGCAAACUGCGAAUACCGGAGAAUGUUAUCACGGGAGACACACGGCGGGUGCUAACGUCCGUCGUGAAGAGGGAAACAACCCAGACCGCCAGCUAAGGUCCCAAAGUCAUGGUUAAGUGGGAAACGAUGUGGGAAGGCCCAGACAGCCAGGAUGUUGGCUUAGAAGCAGCCAUCAUUUAAAGAAAGCGUAAUAGCUCACUGGUCGAGUCGGCCUGCGCGGAAGAUGUAACGGGGCUAAACCAUGCACCGAAGCUGCGGCAGCGACGCUUAUGCGUUGUUGGGUAGGGGAGCGUUCUGUAAGCCUGCGAAGGUGUGCUGUGAGGCAUGCUGGAGGUAUCAGAAGUGCGAAUGCUGACAUAAGUAACGAUAAAGCGGGUGAAAAGCCCGCUCGCCGGAAGACCAAGGGUUCCUGUCCAACGUUAAUCGGGGCAGGGUGAGUCGACCCCUAAGGCGAGGCCGAAAGGCGUAGUCGAUGGGAAACAGGUUAAUAUUCCUGUACUUGGUGUUACUGCGAAGGGGGGACGGAGAAGGCUAUGUUGGCCGGGCGACGGUUGUCCCGGUUUAAGCGUGUAGGCUGGUUUUCCAGGCAAAUCCGGAAAAUCAAGGCUGAGGCGUGAUGACGAGGCACUACGGUGCUGAAGCAACAAAUGCCCUGCUUCCAGGAAAAGCCUCUAAGCAUCAGGUAACAUCAAAUCGUACCCCAAACC